Molecule: transfer RNA, 72 nt
Filed under: Caudoviricetes sp.
Lineage: Duplodnaviria; Heunggongvirae; Uroviricota; Caudoviricetes
Description: tRNA-Gln
Rfam family: tRNA
About the family: Transfer RNA (tRNA) molecules are approximately 80 nucleotides in length. Their secondary structure includes four short double-helical elements and three loops (D, anti-codon, and T loops).
Source: RNAcentral
UCAAGGGUCGCCAAGCGGUAAGGCAACGGACUUUGACUCCGUUAUGCGAACGUUCGAGUCGUUCCCCUUGAA